UACGUAGGGUGCAAGCGUUAAUCGGAAUUACUGGGCGUAAAGCGUGCGCAGGCGGUUUUGUAAGUCUGUCGUGAAAGCCCCGGGCUCAACCUGGGAAUUGCGAUGGAGACUGCAAGGCUUGAAUCUGGCAGAGGGGGGUAGAAUUCCACGUGUAGCAGUGAAAUGCGUAGAGAUGUGGAGGAACACCGAUGGCGAAGGCAGCCCCCUGGGUCAAGAUUGACGCUCAUGCACGAAAGCGUGAGGAGCAAACAGG
Molecule: ribosomal RNA, 253 nt
Filed under: uncultured bacterium
Lineage: Bacteria
Description: partial 16S ribosomal RNA
Rfam family: Bacterial small subunit ribosomal RNA
Source: RNAcentral